RNAcentral lists this ribosomal RNA (497 nucleotides) under uncultured bacterium. Its description in RNAcentral is "partial 16S ribosomal RNA". It matches the Rfam family "Bacterial small subunit ribosomal RNA", at positions 28 to 507 of the family's 1533-position model. The record is from RNAcentral.
GAUGAACGCUGGCGGCGUGCCUAAUACAUGCAAGUCGAGCGAACGGACGAGACGCUUGCUUCUCUGAUGUUAGCGGCGGACGGGUGAGUAACACGUGGAUAACCUACCUAUAAGACUGGGAUAACUUCGGGAAACCGGAGCUAAUACCGGAUAAUAUUUUGAACCGCAUGGUUCAAAAGUGAAAGACGGUCUUGCUGUCACUUAUAGAUGGAUCCGCGCUGCAUUAGCUAGUUGGUAAGGUAACGGCUUACCAAGGCAACGAUGCAUAGCCGACCUGAGAGGGUGAUCGGCCACACUGGAACUGAGACACGGUCCAGACUCCUACGGGAGGCAGCAGUAGGGAAUCUUCCGCAAUGGGCGAAAGCCUGACGGAGCAACGCCGCGUGAGUGAUGAAGGUCUUCGGAUCGUAAAACUCUGUUAUUAGGGAAGAACAUAUGUGUAAGUAACUGUGCACAUCUUGACGGUACCUAAUCAGAAAGCCACGGCUAACUACGUG